UGGCUAAUGUGUUUUGUCUAAGGUGUCUUGGCUAAUGUGUCUUGGCUAAGGUGUCUUUGCUAAGGUGUCUUGGCUAAGGUGUCUUGGCUAAUGUGUCUUGGCUAAUGUGUCUUGGCUAAGGUGUCUUGGCUAAGGUGUCUUGGCUAAGGUGUCUUGGCUAAGGUGUCUUGGCUAAGGUGUCUUUGCUAAGGUGUCUUGGCUAAGGUGUCUUGGCUAAGGUGUCUUUGCUAAGGUGUCUUGGCUAAGGUGUCUUGGCUAAUGUGUCUUGGCUAAUGUGUCUUGGCUAAGGUGUCUUGGCUAAGGUGUAUUGGCUAAGGUGUCUUGGCUAAGGUGUCUUGGCUAAGGUGUCUUGGCUUAUGUGUCUCGGCUAAGGUGUCUUGGCUAAGGUGUCUUGGCUAAGGUGUCUUGGCUAAUGUGUCUUGGCUAAGGUGUCUUGGCUAAGGUGUCUUGGCUAAGGAGUCUUGGCUAAGGUGUCUUGGCUUAGGUGUCUUGGCUAAUGUGUCUCGGCUAAGGUGUCUCGGCUAAGGUGUCUUGGCUAAUGUGUCUUGGCUAAGGUGUCUUGGCUAAGGUGUCUUGGCUAAGGUGUCUUGGCUAAGAUGCUUGGCUAAUGUGUCUUGGCUAAUGUGUCUUGGCUAAGGUGUCUUGGCUAAGGUGUCUUGGCUAAGGUGUCUUGGCUAAGGUGUCUUGGCUAAUGUGUCUCGGCUAAUGUGUCUUGGCUAAGGUGUCUUGGCUAAGGUGUCUUGGCUAAGGUGUCUUGGCUAAUGUGUAUUGGCUAAUGUGUCUUGGCUAAGGUGUCUUGGCUAAUGUGUCUCGGCUAAGGUGUCUUGGCUAAUGUGUCUUGGCUAAAGUGUCUUGGCUAAGGUGUCUUGGCUAAGGUGUCUUGGCUAAUGUGUCUUGGCUAAGGUGUCUUGGCUAAGGUGUCUUGGCUAAGGUGUCUUGGCUAAGGUGUCUUGGCUAAGGUGUCUUGGCUAAGGUGUCUUGGCUAAGGUGUCUUGGCUAAUGUGUCUUGGCUAAGGUGUCUUGGCUAAGGUGUCUUGGCUAAGGUGUCUUGGCUAAUGUGUAUUGGCUAAUGUGUCUUGGCUAAGGUGUCUUGGCUAAGGUGUCUUGGCUAAUGUGUCUUGGCUAAUGUGUCUUGGCUAAGGUGUCUUGGCUAAUGUGUCUCGGCUAAGGUGUCUUGGCUAAUGUGUCUUGGCUAAAGUGUCUUGGCUAAAGUGUCUUGGCUAAGGUGUCUUGGCUAAGGUGUCUUGGCUAAGGUGUCUUGGCUAAUGUGUCUUGGCUAAUGUGUCUUGGCUAAGGUGUCUUGGCUAAUGUGUCUUGGCUAAGGUGUCUUGGCUAAGGUGUCUUGGCUAAUGUGUCUCGGCUUAGGUGUCUUGGCUAAAGUGUCUUGGCUAAUGUGUUUCGGCUAAGGUGUCUUGGCUAAUGUGUCUUGGCUAAGGUGUCUUGGCUAAGGUGUCUUGGCUAAGGUGUCUUGGCUAAGGUGUCUUGGCUAAUGUGUCUUGGCUAAGGUGUCUUGGCUAAUGUGUCUCGGCUAAGGUGUCUUGGCUAAGGUGUCUUGGCUAAUGUGUCUUGGCUAAGGUGUCUUGGCUAAUGUGUCUUGGCUAAUGUGUAUUGGCUAAAGUGUCUUGGCUAAGGUGUCUUGGCUAAUGUGUCUCGGCUAAAGUGUCUUGGCUAAGGUGUCUUGGCUAAGGUGUCUUGGCUAAGGUGUCUUGGCUAAUGUGUCUCGGCUAAGGUGUCUUGGCUAAAGUGUCUUGGCUAAUGUGUCUCGGCUAAGAUGUCUUGGCUAAUGUGUCUUGGCUAAGGUGUCUUGGCUAAGGUGUCUUGGCUAAGGUGUCUUGGCUAAGGUGUCUUGGCUAAGGUGUCUUGGCUAAGGUGUCUUGGCUAAGGUGUCUUGGCUAAUGUGUCUUGGCUAAUGUGUCUCGGCUAAGGUGUCUCGGCUAAGGUGUCUUGGCUAAGGUGUCUUGGCUAAGGUGUCUUGGCUAAUGUGUCUUGGGUAAUGUGUCUUGGCUAAGGUGUCUUGGCUAAGGUGUCUUGGCUAAGGUGUCUUGGCUAAGGUGUCUUGGCUAAGGUGUCUUGGCUAAGGUGUCUUGGCUAAGGUGUCUUGGCUAAGGUGUCUUGGCUAAUGUGUCUCGGCUAAGGUGUCUUGGUUAAGGUGUCUUGGCCAAGGUGUCUUGGCUAAGGUGUCUUGGCUAAGGUGUCUUGGCUAAGGUUUCUUGGCUAAUGUGUCUUGGCUAAUGUGUCUUGGCUAAGGUGUCUUGGCUAAUGUGUCUCGGCUAAGGUGUCUUGGCUAAGGUGUCUUGGCUAAUGUGUCUUGGCUAAGGUGUCUUGGCUAAGGUGUCUUGGCUAAUGUGUCUCGGCUAAGGUGUCUUGGCUAAGGUGUCUUGGCUAAUGUGUCUUGGCUAAUGUGUCUUGGCUAAGGUGUCUUGGCUAAGGUGUCUUGGCUAAUGUGUCUUGGCUAAAGUGUCUUGGCUUAGGUGUCUUGUCUAAUGUGUCUCGGCUAAGGUGUCUUGGUUAAGGUGUCUUGGCUAAGGUGUCUUGGCUAAGGUGUCUUGGCUAAUGUGUCUCGGCUAAUGUGUCUUGGCUUAGGUGUCUUGUCUAAUGUGUCUCGGCUAAGGUGUCUCGGCUAAUGUGUCUUGGCUAAGGUGUCUUGGCUAAGGUGUCUUGGGUAAUGUGUCUUGGCUAAUGUGUCUCGGCUAAGGUGUCUUGGCUAAGGUGUCUUGGCUAAGGUGUCUUGGCUAAGGUGUCUUGGCUAAGGUGUCUUGGCUAAUGUGUCUUGGCUAAUGUGUCUUGGCUAAGGUGUCUUGGCUAAGGUUUCUUGGCUAAUGUGUCUUGGCUAAAGUGUCUUGGCUUAAGUGUCUUGGCUAAUGUGUCUCGGCUAAGGUGUCUUGGCUAAGGUGUCUUGGCUAAGGUGUCUUGGCUAAGGUGUCUUGGCUAAUGUGUCUCGGCUAAGGUGUCUUGGUUAAGGUGUCUUGGCUAAGGUGUCUUGGCUAAGGUGUCUUGGCUAAUGUGUCUCGGCUAAUGUGUCUUGGCUAAGGUGUCUUGGCUAAGGUGUCUUGGCUAAUGUGUCUUGGCUAAUGUGUCUUGGCUAAGGUGUCUUGGCUAAGGUGUCUUGGCUUAUGUGUCUCGGCUAAUGUGUCUUGGCUAAGGUGUUUUGGCUAAGGUGUCUUGGCUAAUGUGUCUUGGCUAAUGUGUCUUGGCUAAGGUGUCUUGGCUAAGGUGUCUUGGCUAAUGUGUCUUGGCUAAGGUGUCUUGGCUAAUGUGUCUUGGCUAAUGUGUCUUGACUAAGGUGUCUUGGCUAAUGUGUCUCGGCUAAUGUGUCUUGGCUAAGGUGUCUUGGCUAAGGUGUCUUGGCUAAUGUGUCUUGGCUAAUGUGUCUUGGCUAAGGUGUCUUGGCUAAUGUGUCUUGGCUAAGGUGUCUUGGCUAAGGUGUCUUGGCUAAUGUGUCUUGGCUAAUGUGUCUUGGCUAAGGUGUCUUGGCUAAGGUGUCUUGGCUAAUGUGUCUUGGCUAAGGUGUCUUGGCUAAUGUGUCUUGGCUAAGGUGUCUUGGCUAAGGUGUCUUGGCUAAUGUGUCUUGGCUAAUGUGUCUUGGCUAAGGUGUCUUGGCUAAGGUUUCUUGGCUAAUGUGUCUUGGCUAAAGUGUCUUGGCUUAAGUGUCUUGGCUAAUGUGUCUCGGCUAAGGUGUCUUGGCUAAGGUGUCUUGGCUAAGGUGUCUUGGCUAAGGUGUCUUGACUAAGGUGUCUUGGCUAAGGUGUCUUGGCUUAUGUGUCUCGGCUAAUGUGUCUUGGCUAAGGUGUCUUGGCUAAGGUGUCCUGGCUAAUGUGUCUUGGCUAAUGUGUCUUGGCUAAGGUGUCUUGGCUAAGGUGUCUUGGCUAAUGUGUCUUGGCUAAAGUGUCUUGGCUUAGGUGUCUUGGCUAAUGUGUCUUGGCUAAUGUGUCUUGGCUAAGGUGUCUUGGCUAAGGUGUCUUGGCUAAUGUGUCUUGGCUAAAGUGUCUUGGCUAAUGUGUCUUGGCUAAGGUGUCUUGGCUAAGGUGUCUUGGCUAAUGUGUCUUGGCUAAGGUGUCUUGGCUAAGGUGUCUUGGCUAAGGUGUCUUGGCUAAGGUGUCUUGGCUAAUGUGUCUUGGCUAAUGUGUCUCGGCUAAUGUGUCUUGGCUAAUGUGUCUUGGCUAAUGUGUCUUGGCUAAGGUGUCUUGGCUAAUGUGUCUUGGCUAAGGUGUCUUGGCUAAGGUGUCUUGGCUAAUGUGUCUUGGCUAAUGUGUCUUGGCUAAGGUGUCUUGGCUAAGGUUUCUUGGCUAAUGUGUCUUGGCUAAAGUGUCUUGGCUUAAGUGUCUUGGCUAAUGUGUCUCGGCUAAGGUGUCUUGGCUAAGGUGUCUUGGCUAAGGUGUCUUGGCUAAGGUGUCUUGACUAAGGUGUCUUGGCUAAGGUGUCUUGGCUUAUGUGUCUCGGCUAAUGUGUCUUGGCUAAGGUGUCUUGGCUAAGGUGUCCUGGCUAAUGUGUCUUGGCUAAUGUGUCUUGGCUAAGGUGUCUUGGCUAAGGUGUCUUGGCUAAUGUGUCUUGGCUAAAGUGUCUUGGCUUAGGUGUCUUGGCUAAUGUGUCUUGGCUAAUGUGUCUUGGCUAAGGUGUCUUGGCUAAUGUGUCUUGGCUAAUGUGUCUUGGCUAAUGUGUCUUGGCUAAUGUGUCUUGGCUAAUGUGUCUUGGCUAAUGUGUCUCGGCUAAGGUGUCUUGGCUAAGGUGUCUUGGCUAAGGUGUCUUGGCUAAGGUGUCUUGGCUAAGGUGUCUUGGCUAAUGUGUCUCGGCUAAGGUGUCUUGGCUAAGGUGUCUUGGCUAAGGUGUCUUGGCUAAGGUGUCUUGGCUAAGGUGUCUUGGCUAAGGUGUCUCGGCUAAUGUGUCUUGGCUAAAGUGUCUUGGCUAAGGUGUCUUGGCUAAUGUGUCUCGGCUAAGGUGUCUUGGCUAAGGUGUCUUGGCUAAGGUGUCUCGGCUAAUGUGUCUUGGCUAAGGUGUCUUAGCUAAGGUGUCUUGGCUAAUGUGUUUUGGCUAAGGUGUCUUGGCUAAUGUGUCUUGGCUAAGGUGUCUUGGCUAAGGUGUCUUGGCUAAGGUGUCUUGGCUAAUGUGUCUUGGCUAAGGUGUCUUGGCUAAUGUGUCUUGGUUAAUGUGUCUCGGCUAAUGUGUCUUGGCUAAGGUGUCUUGGCUAAGGUGUCUUGGCUAAUGUGUCUUGGCUAAUGUGUCUUGGCUAAGGUGUCUUGGCUAACGUGUCUCGGCUAAGGUGUCUUGGCUAAUGUGUCUUGGCUAAAGUGUUUUGGCUAAGGUGUCUUGGCUAAGGUGUCUUGGCUAAUGUGUCUUGGCUAAAGUGUCUUGGCUAAGGUGUCUUGGCUAAUGUGUCUCGGCUAAAGUGUCUUGGCUAAGGUGUCUUGGCUAAGGUGUCUUGGCUAAAGUGUCUUGGCUAAGGUGUCUUGGCUAAGGUGUCUUGGCUAAGGUGUCUUGGCUAAGGUGUCUUGGCUAAGGUGUCUUGGCUAAGGUGUCUUGGCUAAUGUGUCUUGGCUAAGGUGUCUUGGCUAAUGUGUCUCAUCUAAGGUGUCUUGGCUAAGGUGUCUUGGCUAAUGUGUCUUGGCUAAGGUGUCUUGGCUAAUGUGUCUCGGCUAAUGUGUCUUGGCUAAGGUGUCUUGGCUAAGGUGUCUUGGCUAAUGUGUCUCGGCUAAUGUGUCUUGGCUAAGGUGUCUUGGCUUAUGUGUCUUGGCUAAUGUGUCUUGGCUAAUGUGUCUCGGCUAAUGUGUCUUGGCUAAGGUGUCUUGGCUAAGGUGUCUUGGCUAAGGUGUCUCGGCUAAUGUGUCUUGGCUAAGGUGUCUUGGCUAAGGUGUCUUGGCUAAUGUGUCUUGGCUAAUGUGUCUUGGCUAAUGUGUCUCGGCUAAGGUGUCUUGGCUAAGGUGUCUUGGCUAAGGUGUCUUGGCUAAGGUGUCUUGGCUAAGGUGUCUCGGCUAAUGUGUCUCGGCUAAAGUGUCUAGGCUAAGGUGUCUUGGCUAAG
Long non-coding RNA from Anopheles funestus (African malaria mosquito), 6013 nucleotides. RefSeq lists it as uncharacterized. The transcript is spliced from 9 exons. NCBI's taxonomy places the organism in Eukaryota, Metazoa, Arthropoda, Insecta, Diptera, Culicidae. The record is from RefSeq and is a predicted model, not a curated record.